RNAcentral lists this ribosomal RNA (508 nucleotides) under uncultured Bacteroidota bacterium. RNAcentral's name for it is "bacterial SSU rRNA". It matches the Rfam family "Bacterial small subunit ribosomal RNA", at positions 9 to 513 of the family's 1533-position model. The record is from RNAcentral. Lineage: Bacteria; Pseudomonadati; Bacteroidota.
GAGUUUGAUCCUGGCUCAGGAUGAACGCUAGCGGCAGGCCUAAUACAUGCAAGUCGAACGGUAAAUACUUUAGCAAUAGAAUAUGAGAGUGACGUACGGGUGCGUAACACGUAUGCAACCUACCCUUUACAGGCGGAUAGCUCGGGGAAACUCGAAUUAACCCGCCAUGAGAUCAUAGAGUGGCAUCACUUAGUGAUUAAAUUCCAAGAGGUAAAGGAUGGGCAUGCGUCUGAUUAGUUAGUUGGCGGGGUAACGGCCCACCAAGACGAUGAUCAGUAGGGGAACUGAGAGGUUGAUCCCCCACACUGGCACUGAGAUACGGGGCCAGACUCCUACGGGAGGCAGCAGUAGGGAAUAUUGGUCAAUGGAUGGAAGUCUGAGCCAGCCAUGCCGCGUGCAGGAAGAAGGCCUUCUGGGUUGUAAACUGCUUUUGCCAGGGGCUAAAAAGCUCAUGCGUGAGAAAUUGAAAGUACCUGGUGAAUAAGCCACGGCUAACUACGUGCCAGCC